Molecule: long non-coding RNA, 391 nt
Organism: Halichondria panicea
Lineage: Eukaryota; Metazoa; Porifera; Demospongiae; Suberitida; Halichondriidae
Exons: 2
Source: RefSeq, a predicted model, not a curated record
CCUAACUCUCUGGAAGCAAGGAUAUAUAAUAUAAUUAGUCCUCAUGAGGAAGUGCGGCCUGGGAUCGAGGCUAUAGGAUUUAAUCAGCUGGAAGGUGUUCUCUCACCUGCUAUAAAAAUAUCCAUUGUCCCCAACAGUGUAGAAUGCUGGGCAAGCCAGGAUCAGAGUGCAGAUCUCAGCAGUGCAUAGUACAGAGGAUGUGGACCGAUGCAUUCAUUAGUAUAGGGCGUGACAAAGGUGUCAUCAAUUAAGAGAACUCUUCCCUUAUCAUGUCCUUUGUGUCCUGUGUUGGGCUACUGUUUGUGUGUAUAGUUGUGUGUAGUUAUAUCCUGGACUUUCAUUAGUUGUUAAUUGUUUGUGCAGUUUGCAUAAUCUUGUUCAAGUUCCUUUG